UACUAGAGUAGCACUCGCAUAUCAAUAAGCGGAGGAAAAGAAACUAACAAGGAUUCCCCUAGUAACGGCGAGUGAAGCGGGAAGAGCUCAAAUUUGAAAUCUUAAAGGGUUUCCCUUUACGAAUUGUAGUUUAAAGAAGUGUUUUCUGUUGAGGUUUUGGUAAAAGUUCUUUGGAAUAGGACAUCAUAGAGGGUGAGAAUCCCGUAUUUGACCUUUACUUUCAACUUUGUGAUACACUUUCAAAGAGUCGGAUUGUCUGGGAAUGCAGUCCAAAAUGGGUGGUAAAUUUCAUCUAAAGCUAAAUAUUGGCGAGAGACCGAUAGCGAACAAGUACCGUGAGGGAAAGAUGAAAAGAACUUUGAAAGGAGAGUUAAACAGUACGUGAAAUUGUCAAAAGGGAAGCGUUUGACACCAGUGUUGUUUUUCUGAAAAUCAAUUAAAGAACUGUUUAUGCUAAGCUGUUUAGACUUUAUCAGCUAUCUGUUUAGUUUUGAGCUUUUCUUUAAUGCACUUUUCAGUUAACAAGUCAACAUCAAUUUCUUUUGCUGUAAAAAAGCUUGAGGAAGGUGGCUUGAGAUUCGUCUUAAGUGUUUAUAGCCUCUUGCCUAUGCAGUCGGAGAGAUUGAGGUCUGCAGCGUAGAUCCUUCGGGGCUAAAUGCAUUUGUGCUAAGUUAUAGCAUUUUAUAGACAACUUGUUGACUAUGAUUUGUCUUGUAGCUUACUCGCUUAUGUUAUUUUACCUACGCUUAGGAUGUUGAGCGCAUGUCUCUCUCU
RNAcentral lists this ribosomal RNA (774 nucleotides) under uncultured Neocallimastigales. Its description in RNAcentral is "partial large subunit ribosomal RNA". It matches the Rfam family "Eukaryotic large subunit ribosomal RNA", at positions 20 to 616 of the family's 3401-position model. Lineage: Eukaryota; Fungi; Neocallimastigomycota; Neocallimastigomycetes; Neocallimastigales. The record is from RNAcentral.